UAAAGUCCUUCUAACAUUUGAAGACAUA
RNAcentral lists this small RNA (28 nucleotides) under Bombyx mori (domestic silkworm). RNAcentral describes it as "ovarian small RNA-18404". Lineage: Eukaryota; Metazoa; Arthropoda; Insecta; Lepidoptera; Bombycidae. The record is from RNAcentral.